UAGGGAAUAUUGGAAAUGUGCGAAAGCGCGAACCAGCAACGCCGCGUGCACGAUGAAGGCCUUCGGGUCGUAAAGUGCUUUUAGAGAGGAUGAGGAAGGACAGUACUUUCUGAAUAAGCCUCGGCUAACUACGUGCCAGCAGCCGCGGUAAAACGUAGGAGGCUAGCGUUAUCCGGAUUUACUGGGCGUAAAGGGCAUGCAGGUGGUUUUGUAAGUUGGAUGUGAAAGCUCCUGGCUUAACUGGGAGAGGUCGUUCAAAACUACAAGACUUGAGAUUGGUAGAGGAUAAUGGAAUUCCCGGUGGAGUGGUGAAAUGCGUAGAUAUCCGGAGGAACACCAGUGGCGAAAGCGGUUUUCUGGACCAAUUCUGACACUCAGAUGCGAAAGCUAAGGUAGCAAACG
This 402-nucleotide ribosomal RNA is filed under the name uncultured bacterium. Its description in RNAcentral is "bacterial SSU rRNA". It matches the Rfam family "Bacterial small subunit ribosomal RNA", at positions 355 to 774 of the family's 1533-position model. The record is from RNAcentral.